GACGAACGCUGGCGGCGUGCUUAACACAUGCAAGUCGAACGGAAAGGCCCUGCUUUUGUGGGUUGCUCGAGUGGCGACCGGGUGAGUAACCCGUGAGUAACCUGCCCUUGACUUUGGGAUAACUUCAGGAAACUGGGGCUAAUACCGGAUAGGAGCUCCUGCUGCAUGGUGGGGGUUGGAAAGUUUCGGCGGUUGGGGAUGGACUCGCGGCUUAUCAGCUUGUUGGUGGGGUAGUGGCUUACCAAGGCUUUGACGGGUAGCCGGCCUGAGAGGGUUACCGGCCACAUUGGGACUGGGAUACGGCCCAGACUCCUACGGGAGGCAGCAGUGGGGAAUAUUGCACAAUGGGCGGAAGCCUGAUGCAGCAACGCCGCGUGCGGGAUGACGGCCUUCGGGUUGUAAACCGCUUUCGCCUGUGACGAAGCGUGAGUGACGGUAAUGGGUAAAGAAGCACCGGCUAACUACGUG
RNAcentral lists this ribosomal RNA (468 nucleotides) under uncultured bacterium. RNAcentral describes it as "partial 16S ribosomal RNA". It matches the Rfam family "Bacterial small subunit ribosomal RNA", at positions 28 to 507 of the family's 1533-position model. The record is from RNAcentral.